ACUCGGGAGAAAGGAAGGAAGAAGCAAAGAGCAGGCCGAAGGACUCUGUCGAGGGAGAAACUGAGGCACGGAGAAGAGAGGAUAAGAUCGCCCCUGAGGAGAACUGGGAGAUGUUCACUGGCAGGCGCCUCCAGAUGUUUGCAUCAAGAUUUCACCUCUGCCCGGCACUUAGUAGGCAGAAAAGAAAUGCUCUGGGAGUGGACGGGUGAGCUGGGUCUCCUUCAGCCAAGCUGUGCUGGGUCCAGGUAGCCACCUGGAGCUUCUCUCUCUGCCCCUAUUCUCCAUGACCUCACGUAGUCCCCCUCAUCCUCUCUCAGAUGAUUCCAGUGCCCUGUUUCCUGUAUCCUCUUUCCUUUAAGUCCAUCCUAAAAUCCAGCCAGCUACCUGCAGUAGCUCCCCAUCACCGGCACUCCUGGGCCUGGAGCAUUGUCCCAUGCUGAGGGGCCUUCCUCCCGCUCCUCACCCUCUCCUUCCCUUCACACCCUCCAUGCUCUGGUCAGCCUGGCCCCAUCACCGGCACUCCUAGGCCUGAAGCAUUGUCCCAUGCUGAGGGGCCUUCCUCAGCUCCUCACCCUCUCCUUCCCUUCACACCCUCCAUGCUCUGGUCAGCCUGGCCACUAGCCAUCAAGAUGCUUCCACUUUACUGAGCCCGCUCUCCUGAAAGCCACUCCAAACACAGCAGGGCCAUGACUCAGUCCACAGCUCCAGGGCCAUCCCUA
This is a long non-coding RNA of Mastomys coucha (southern multimammate mouse), 719 nucleotides long. RefSeq lists it as uncharacterized. The transcript has 3 exons. Lineage: Eukaryota; Metazoa; Chordata; Mammalia; Rodentia; Muridae. The record is from RefSeq and is a predicted model, not a curated record.